RNAcentral lists this unclassified non-coding RNA (304 nucleotides) under uncultured fungus. Its description in RNAcentral is "sequence contains ITS1". The stretch from base 1 to 104 matches the Rfam family "5.8S ribosomal RNA", at positions 50 to 154 of the family's 154-position model. The record is from RNAcentral. Lineage: Eukaryota; Fungi.
GAAAUGCGAUACGUAAUGUGAAUUGCAGUUUCCGCGAAUCAUCAAAUUGUUGAACGCAAAUGGCACUCUUUGGCAUUCCGAAGAGUAUACCUGUUUGAGUAUCAUUUCCACUCUAUCAACGCUAUGUUGAUGUAGUGAGUGCUGUAAAUUGUUGUUGAAGAUGACAAUUACUCACUUUGAACUGAUAUAUAUAUAUAACUAAAAUAGUAGUUUGGCAAGUUAAACGUAAUGUAUAUGCAAAUAUAUAUACGUGUCAAGCUCAACUUUUGAUCUCAAAUCAGGCAAGACUACCCGCUGAACUUAA